RNAcentral lists this unclassified non-coding RNA (3085 nucleotides) under Hevea brasiliensis (rubber tree). Lineage: Eukaryota; Viridiplantae; Streptophyta; Magnoliopsida; Malpighiales; Euphorbiaceae. The record is from RNAcentral.
GGCAACAGAAGGUAGAGAAUUAAUGGUGGGUACCUUAAGAUAAUGUUCACUUCCAGUAGCUUUGUUUGGCACAAUCCUGCACCGCUGGAGCCUAUGCCCUCAAAAGCAAUCUUCGAAUCUCACAGUUGAUGGGCUUCCCAGUAAUGUACAACACAAAAUACAAAUGCUUAAAGAAUCAAUAUUUAUCAUUUAUACACAAUAGAUUUAUCCCAUCACAAAUAAAAUAGCGUCACUGGCCAAAACUGCAGAACAUGGAUGAAACUAAAAGGAAUACAAACAUUUCUGACCAACUAAAAUAGAUUGCUUGUAGGGAGGAAGGGAGAGAUAAAGAGUGCUUGCCAGCUGAUUAGCCAAACCACAAUUGCUGAUCAACUCUAUGGAUUACCUGCGUUCUGAACUUUUAAUUUUUCCUUUUCCCUCUGAUUAUUUCUCCGUUGAAAGUUUUAGUCCUGCAUUAAGCAUGUUGCUGCUAAUACUAAUACCAUCUUAUUGUGGUGCUAACCUCCACACGCGAACAAAGGCAUCCUCCCCUGCGCUGACCAAAGUGCACUCAUCAGUAAAUGCCAAGCCGUAAACUCCACCCAAGUUGGCUCCUUUUAUGGUUAUGCGGCUUGAAGCAGGCUUCCCAACUUCAUAAAUAAUGACACAGGUAUCUAGUGAUCCAGUAGCCACCAAAGAGCUAUUAGGAGACCAUGCGAGGCAGUUUAUACGAGCAGUGUGGUACAGCAUGUUAUUAAGCUUAACCUCCUUGGAGGCACGGUCCCAAACAACAGCUUCACGAUUUAUAUCAGCAGAGGCAAACAUGGAGACAUCUGGCGAAUAUCGUAUUACACUGAUUGCACCUCUAUGCUUCUCAAGGACUGCUUCUUCAGUAAGAUUAUCACCAGACACCGAAUAUAUGUGCAACUUACCAUCUUGGCCACCCACAAUUGCUUCACUUCCAUCAGGUGCAAUUAUAGAUGCCGUCACAGUAAAUCCAAGGUUGAUGUUUGACACUACUUUCAGAUCUUUAAGCAAGGAAACUCCUGACUCGGUUGAAACCAAAGCUAGUCCGGGUGAAUCAAUGGCAAGGCUCAAAUCCUUAGGCUGACUGCCAAUAUCAACCUGCUCUGCUGCUCCACAUUCAUCCCCAUUUAGAGGAACUCUCUGUACCUGAGGUGAAUGAAACAAAAAUUAAUACGCUAUAGUUUGAUGAUAAUCAUCAAAUUCUAGAAUACACAGAAAAUAUCUAAUGUUAACUCUAAAGUUACUGAAGUGCCAAUGAACUUAGCUUUAUUAUUUUCCUUUUUGCCCUUUAAGGUUGUGGAUCAUAUUUGAGUUUCCCUAUUUUCUAAUGUGAUGCAAGUAAGGCAACCUUAAGAACUGUCAUAUUUCUUUGACUAAAUUUUUUAGAGUUGUCAAACUAGUAAAAAAAGGUCAUCUAUGCAGUGACUGCGUCUUACACGUCACCAUUAAAGAUUAUCCACUGUUUUGAGGACCAAACAAAAAACUUCAAAAAACGCAGUGCAUAAUAUCCAUGGAUGUCACAAUUGAACACAUCAAAUCAGAAAGAAAAAAAUUUUGACACUUUUUGGUGUAAUGAGCAUUUGAAAAACCAAAUACUUCCACAUCCUUUCAUUUAGUAAUAAUAAUUAAUCUGCCAUAACUUAACUAGUUGUCAAAUCCAGAUGUAAUAACCUCUUGUUCAACAGCUACUAAACGUUUAACUAAAGCAUUAUCUUUCCUCUCUAGUCUACCCUUGUACCCAUGACCUUGAGUCCACUUAAAAAUGUGUCCAUCAUAGCUGUUUGUCAGAACCAACUUUGGACACCCUGGACAGCUGUUAAUGCAUUGACAUUUUUCAUGCGUCCAGAAAAGGAUACAGGAGCUUUAUCAAGAUCACUAGCAGAAAAUAAGCGAAUUGUGCCACCAAGGGAAACAAUAACAAGAUGAUGAUUUUGCCAAUGACAUCCAACCAGCAUAUCAUCAACUCCACCAGAAGCAGGAAAUGCCAAAGUUUUUAUCACAUUCCCACAACCAUUCUCAGAAAUUUCCCAUAUCUUUGCGGUCUUGUCAGCCGAGACAGUAAGUACUUGUUUGCUAUCAGGACUCCAACAACUAGCAUAGAUGCUGGAUGUAUGACCAUCAUCCACAGUCUUCCCAUCGUAUAUUAUGCCCCUUCUUGUCUGAGCCUACACUAAUGCAUUUGCUGCCGUCUGGUGAAACUCUAACACAAUUGACAAAAUUGGAAUGCUCCCUGUAGCUGUGGGAGAGCAUGAACUUCUAGGGUGGACCUUCAUAGAAGUUCACUAUGAAUUCCUCUCCACAAGUGACAAUUCGGAACAGCCUUGUAGGUUUAAAUGCACAACUUAAAACCCGCCGUGAGUGCCCAUCAAAAUCUCCUACAGUACUGCCUGUAUCCCACCUGCAGCUGCAACCACAUUUGCAAAAUCGUAUAUAGCUGAAAAACCAGUUUUUUGCUAAGAGAGAGCAGCUUAUACAAAUUUAUGAACAAAUAAAGGCAAUUUUUGGUAUGGGUUUCAAAUCCAACAGCCUCACCUCAAAUUAUUGUAGAAAAAAAGGACCAAAAACUAGCUAGAGCAAGUCUUACAGUUUUUUAUAAAUAAGACAAAAACCAAUGUGGAUGUGGGACAACACACAUACUAGACAGAACAAAAUGACAGAAUCUAACUCACCCAAAAUUAGCUGAGAUUUGCCCAAGACCCAAAUGUGGGACAACAAUUAUCUUCAAAUAUUAAUAAACGGACUAAAUUUUCGGCAUUAAGAUGUCAAAUUAUGAAUAUUUUAGCUUAAAAACAUCAAUUUUUUAUUUUUAAACAAAAUUAACCAGUCAAUUUGGGUGUGAGAAUUACUCAACCAUUGUAGCUUGAGCUCUCAUUAGCCUUACUUUUUGGCGCCAAAGUUACAAAAGAAAAGAGAACUCACAUAAAAGCACUGACGAAGGACUUUCCCUUGCCGUCACCGGAAGCAACAAUUCUCAACAUAUCGAGCGACCACUGCUAAUCGUCGAUCCGACCCGAUAGGACACGAAAUUCUUGUGCAGCACAAACUCAUUAUGGGCACCCCAGAUCCUCAUAGUGCCCGA